Molecule: ribosomal RNA, 271 nt
Filed under: uncultured bacterium
Lineage: Bacteria
Description: partial 16S ribosomal RNA
Rfam family: Bacterial small subunit ribosomal RNA
Source: RNAcentral
UACGUAGGGGGCAAGCGUUGUCCGGAUUUAUUGGGCGUAAAGAGCGUGUAGGCGGCCAAGCAGGUCCGCUGUGAAAACUCGAGGCUCAACCUCGAGAUGUCGGUGGAAACCGUUUGGCUAGAGUCCGGAAGAGGAGAGUGGAAUUCCUGGUGUAGCGGUGAAAUGCGCAGAUAUCAGGAAGAACACCUAUGGCGAAGGCAGCUCUCUGGGACGGUACUGACGCUGAGACGCGAAAGCGUGGGGAGCGAACAGGAUUAGAUACCCGGGUAGU